CACUUUGUCUUUAUGGCAAAUGUGAGAUGCAGUGUAUGGAAUGUCAAAUUUCUAGUAUGAGAAAUUAACGAUUUAAGUCCUUCUUAAAUGAGGCCAUUUACCCAUAGAGGGUGCCAGGCCCGUAUAACGUUAAUGAUUACUAGAUGGCAUUUCCAAAGAGUCGUGUUGCUUGAUAGUGCAGCACUAAGUUGGUGGUAAACUCCAUCUAAAACUAAAUAUAACCAUGAGACCGAUAGUAAACAAGUACCGUGAGGGAAAGUUGAAAAGAACUCUGAAUAGAGAGUUAAAUAGUACGUGAAACUGCUUAGAGGUUAAGCCCGAUGAACCUGAAUAUCCAAUAUAGAAAAUUCAUCAUUAUGAUUUUAAUAUUUUAAUAUUAUAAUAAUGGUGUGCAUUUUUUCUAUAGAGGACAUUGUAAUCUAUUAACAUAAUAAAUAUUUAUCAAAAGGUCAAUUGCAAUUGUUUAUUCCAAUUAUUUUGCUUGCAAAAUAACAUAGGGUAAAUGCUUUUGAUUUGAUAAAGUGUUGAUAGAUUUAUUAUAUAUAGUGCUUGAAUAUUUAUAUUCUAUAAUGGCAUAUUAAUUUAUAAUUUUUAUGUUUAUUAUAUGCACUUAUAUGAUUAACAAUGCGAAAGAUUCAGGAUACCUUCGGGACCCGUCUUGAAACACGGACCAAGGAGUCUAACAUAUUUGCAAGUUAUUGGGAAUAAAAACCUAAUAGCGAAAUUAACAUAACUAAUAUUGGGAUUAGUUUUUAGUUCUAUUAUUAAUAGUCUAUUAAUUCAAUCCCGGGGCGUUCUAUACAGUUAUGUAUAAUAAUAUUUAUAUUAUUUAUACCUCUAACUAGAGCGUACCUUGAGCAUAUAUGCUGUGACCCGAAAGAUGGUGAACUAUACUUGAUCAGGUUGAAGUCAGGGGAAACCCUGAUGGAAGACCGAAACAGUUCUGACGUGCAAAUCGAUUGUCAGAAUUGAGUAUAGGGGCGAAAGACCAAUCGAAC
Molecule: ribosomal RNA, 998 nt
Filed under: Blondelia eufitchiae
Lineage: Eukaryota; Metazoa; Arthropoda; Insecta; Diptera; Tachinidae
Description: eukaryotic LSU rRNA
Rfam family: Eukaryotic large subunit ribosomal RNA
Source: RNAcentral